AAGCAGACUUUGAGAAAAAAAAGAGGACUAAAACAAAGAUCAACAUCUUUCGAGAUGCCCGAGAGCUCCACGGCCGCGAAUAACUUCGACUUGACAGAGACGUCCCCAGAACGUCUUUCCAAACAUCUGCGUGUAGGGUCCGCUUGAUGUCCCGCAGACCUUCGCGAAGACAUCUUCCGGACGUUCAAGAGAACGUUCCCAGGACCACCAUGGAUCAUUAUGAGGGAUUCUAAGCGCACCACAGGAGAAGCUCAGAGUGAUGCUACAGACGAUUUGCUGACCUCAUGUGUAAGUGCUGAAGAAUAGGCCCGUGUUGAAGACCUUGCCCACGGUGCUUUCCUGGAUUUAUGCUCGACUUGGUGGAAUGACUCCGUCUCCCGGGUGCCAGCAGGGUUGAAAUAGAGGCUGUGAUGAAGUAGGGUAAAGGACAAACUCACUUGAUUUUAAUAAGGUGUUGUCACUGCAAAUAAGUUGGCCCUGUAUCAGCCGGGCCGAGGGAGCUGGAUUCUUUCCAGCUACUUUAAAUACAGCUGUUCUGCCAGAGUCAGAUACACUCGCUGUAUCAAGGUUACAAAAGUUCCCGGCUUAUCCAUAAUAGUGAGCGCAGUGUCUCUCUCACUUCAUCCGAGCUCUCUACCGCUCUCAUCCGUACCCUUAGCGGUGCUGUUGAUAAAAAGUAAUCAGAAUGGUGUCUGAAAGAGACAUGUUGCAAGGAAGAUAAGUCAGUCACAUUGGGUAUGUUCCAGUCACCCUGUACUUCACAGGUUUUUGGCCAUCAUAAUUCCUUAUAAUAGGGAGCAUGAAUCCUCAGUUCAAAGGGUUGACAUGUACUAUAUAUAUAUACAGUAUAUACUGUAUAUA
Molecule: non-coding RNA, 861 nt
Organism: Pimephales promelas (fathead minnow)
Lineage: Eukaryota; Metazoa; Chordata; Actinopteri; Cypriniformes; Leuciscidae
Source: RefSeq, a predicted model, not a curated record